Molecule: ribosomal RNA, 425 nt
Filed under: uncultured bacterium
Lineage: Bacteria
Description: bacterial SSU rRNA
Rfam family: Bacterial small subunit ribosomal RNA
Source: RNAcentral
GUUAGGAAUAUUGGACAAUGGGCGCAAGCCUGAUCCAGCCAUGCCGCGUGAGUGAUGAAGGCCUUCGGGUUGUAAAGCUCUUUAGCCGAUGAUUAUAAUGACUGUAGUCGGAAAAUAAGCCCCGGCUAACUUCGUGCCAGCAGCCGCGGUAAUACGAAGGGGGCGAGCGUUAUUCGGAAUCACUGGGCGUAAAGCGUGCGUAGGCGGCUUUGCAAGUUGGGAGUGAAAGCCCAGGGCUCAACCCUGGAAUUGCGCUCAAAACUGCAAGGCUCGAAUUCGGGAGAGGAUAGCGGAAUUGUCAGUGUAGCAGUGAAAUGCGUAGAUAUUGACAGGAACACCAGUGGCGUAAGCGGCUAUCUGGACCGAUAUUGACGCUGAGGCACGAAAGCGUGGGGAUCAAACAGGAUUAGAAACCCUGGUAGUCC